CCAUGCAGAAGGUCCUUCAGGAGUGGCUGUGGAUCCUCUCCAAGCCCGGAGCAUUCCUGUGCCAGAGAAGGAAAACGUCAGGACUGUGCUGAGAACUGUGACCCUUUCCUCCAAGGAAGGGGAGGACCCUGUGAUCCAGCUGAAUCUUCCUGACAGGCUGGGGAAAAGGAAAACCCUCCUGGGUGGAAAAAGUUUCCUCCCCCUGAGGAGGAACGUGGCUGACAGGCUGGGGAGGAAGGCAGAGCUGCAGGAAAACUCUGAAAAGGCC
Long non-coding RNA from Passer montanus (Eurasian tree sparrow), 268 nucleotides. RefSeq lists it as uncharacterized. NCBI's taxonomy places the organism in Eukaryota, Metazoa, Chordata, Aves, Passeriformes, Passeridae. The record is from RefSeq and is a predicted model, not a curated record. The transcript has 3 exons.